RNAcentral lists this ribosomal RNA (465 nucleotides) under Vreelandella stevensii. RNAcentral's name for it is "partial 16S ribosomal RNA". It matches the Rfam family "Bacterial small subunit ribosomal RNA", at positions 338 to 795 of the family's 1533-position model. Lineage: Bacteria; Pseudomonadati; Pseudomonadota; Gammaproteobacteria; Oceanospirillales; Halomonadaceae. The record is from RNAcentral.
CCUACGGGGGGCAGCAGUGGGGAAUAUUGGACAAUGGGCGAAAGCCUGAUCCAGCCAUGCCGCGUGUGUGAAGAAGGCCUUCGGGUUGUAAAGCACUUUCAGUGGGGAAGAAAGCCUUGGGGCUAAUACCCUCGAGGAAGGACAUCACCCACAGAAGAAGCACCGGCUAACUCCGUGCCAGCAGCCGCGGUAAUACGGAGGGUGCGAGCGUUAAUCGGAAUUACUGGGCGUAAAGCGCGCGUAGGCGGUCUGAUAAGCCGGUUGUGAAAGCCCCGGGCUCAACCUGGGAACGGCAUCCGGAACUGUCCGGCUAGAGUGCAGGAGAGGAAGGUAGAAUUCCCGGUGUAGCGGGGAAAUGCGUAGGGAUCGGGAGGAAUACCAGUGGCGAAGGCGGCCUUCUGGACUGACACUGACGCUGAGGUGCGAAAGCGUGGGUAGCAAACAGGAUUAGAUACCCCAGUAGUC